Molecule: long non-coding RNA, 2233 nt
Organism: Hypanus sabinus (Atlantic stingray)
Lineage: Eukaryota; Metazoa; Chordata; Chondrichthyes; Myliobatiformes; Dasyatidae
Exons: 3
Source: RefSeq, a predicted model, not a curated record
GUGCACAGAGCUGAAAAAUGCUCGCAAAGCGACGGAGGAGAUUCAGCUAGUCUCGGUCUGAAAUGUCGACUGUUCUUUGCUGCCUGACCCGCUGAAUUCCUCCAGCAAGCUGGAAAGGACACAAACAAAAGGGACGUAGCCUCAGGAUUCGGGGGGAGCGGAUUCAGGAUGGAGAUGAGGAGGAACUGCUUUUCCCAAAGACGGGGGAGACCUUUACAAAGGGACACUUCAAGGCCACACAGCAUCUACGAAGAGACAGAGUAACACAGACGUGAUGGUGGAGGAACUCAGCAGCGGGCACCUGAAUCAUGAAGGCCAGCACAUCAUACACAUUCUGAACGUGUGUAAGCUUGUGUAGCAUCUUUAAUGGACUUUGACCUAAAGAUCCCCUUGGUUUCAAAGCACUGCAAAGAGUCCUGCCAUUAGCCUUAGACACCACCAUCAAGUUCAAAAGUUUGUUUUGAUUUCCCCAGGUGGAUGUCAUUAGCAUGUCCAAUAUUUUUGCCGAAAUGCCCCUUGAAUUUAAGGAUCAAGAAUCAACUGUAUUUGCCAUAUACAGAACAUGUGUGAGGAAUUUGCUGUGGUGUGUUGGUCAGGGUGUUACAUGGAACAAAAAACAACAAUGUUCAACAAUUAUAAAGAAUUAUACACAUGUUGGCAUUCACCUCUCAUUUUGGCAGUCUGUGGUACUCACCUGCUUCAAGCAGGCUUCAAUUAUACUGGUGCCUGUAAAGAACAUGGUAACCUGCCUCAAAGACUAUUGUCCAGUAGCACUUACAUGCACAGUGAUGAUGUGUUUUGAAAGGUUGGUGAUGAAACAUAUCAACUCCAGCCUGAGGAGCAAUUUAGAUCCAUUUCAAUUUACUGUGCCUACCAGCGCAAUGACUCCACAGCAGAUGCCAUCUCAUUGGCUGCUCAUUCAACCCUGGAACAUCUGGACAGUAAAGAUGCCAUCUCAUUGGCUGCUCAUUCAACCCUGGAACAUCUGGACAGUAAAGAUGCCAUCUCAUUGGCUGCUCAUUCAACCCUGGAACAUCUGGACAGGAUGCUCUUCAUUGACUGCAGCUCUGCAUUCAACACCAUCAUCCCUUCAAACUAAUAAGUUUCAAGACCUUGGCCUCAAUACCUCCUUGUGCAAUUGGAUCCUCUAUUUCCUCACAAGCAAAUCGGAUUGGGAGCAACAUCUUGUGCAUAAUGUCUAUCAGCCAGGUACACCACUAGGCUGAGUGCUUAGCCCCCUGCUCUACUCACAUUAUGCCUAUGACUGUAAGGCUAAAAGCUGAUUUAUACUUCUGCGUAGUAGCCUGUGCUGUUGUAACCAUUUAUGCCUGUGCGUCGGUGUGUCUGCGUCGCUCUGCAAUUCACCGCCAAAACGCUAGUUGACAGUGGGAUUUCUGAUGGCAACUGAGUGCAUCAUGUUGGAGUUGGAGCUAAUAAAUGUUGAACAAGGGUUACUGCAAAUUACUGCAACGCAGAAAAGAGAGAAGAUGUCAGAGGAGAUUAUAUGUAUGACCAUUGAACAGAUUGAGGCAGAAGGAGGGUGAAUUUUCUGUGCUUGUCUGGCCACUGAGAGACAUGGACGAGGAAAUGCAUUUCAAAUAUUUUCGGAUGUGGGCAGGUAGAUUUGACGAUUUGGUUCAUUGUCUCCAACUGUUUAUUUCUCAUCAGUGUACAUCGAAAGGAGGAAAUGCAAUGUUACCAAGCGGACCAAUCACAGUUGUUGCGGUCUGCAUUGCCGCAACGCGCAGUUACAUUUUUGGAGAGGUGCGCGUCAGGCUAUGGUGUAGGGUACAGUGUAGGUUACGCGGCUACGCCAUACCUACAGCAUUCAUUUGACGCAGAAGUAUAAAUCAGCCUUAAGCACAGCUCCAAUGUCAUAUUUAAGUUGGGUGUGGUCUUUCAUUGAUUCUAUUAUAUUUCUUGGAUUUACAGAGUAUACACGCAAGAAAGCAAAUCUUGUGUUGAAUAUGGUGACAUUUAUGUACGUUGGUAAUAAACUUACUUUGUACUUGCUAUAAAAAUCAAAUAAAGUUAGAGGUUAAAGGAUGGUUAUGUAAUAAAAUGUGCAUAAAUAAAUAAUAGCCAGCAUGUAUUUAGCAUUAUAAAAGUGGUCUUAAGUGUCCACAUGCAGUGCAGUGACGAUGGUCCUCCAGGCCAUUCCAAUCAGCAACUGAGCAUUGAUUCCAUUUUUGUCAGACUGGAGUCACAUUCCAGCCAGAUGGUGUAACAAUUA